This 433-nucleotide ribosomal RNA is filed under the name uncultured bacterium. Its description in RNAcentral is "partial 16S ribosomal RNA". It matches the Rfam family "Bacterial small subunit ribosomal RNA", at positions 29 to 507 of the family's 1533-position model. The record is from RNAcentral.
AACGAACGCUGGCGGCAUGCCUAACACAUGCAAGUCGAACGAGACCUUCGGGUCUAGUGGCGCACGGGUGCGUAACGCGUGGGAACCUGCCCUUAGGUUCGGAAUAACUCCCCGAAAGGGGUGCUAAUACCGGAUAAUGUCUUCGGACCAAAGAUUUAUCGCCUUUGGAUGGGCCCGCGUUGGAUUAGCUAGUUGGUAGGGUAAAAGCCUACCAAGGCGACGAUCCAUAGCUGGUCUGAGAGGAUGAUCAGCCACACUGGGACUGAGACACGGCCCAGACUCCUACGGGAGGCAGUAGUGGGGAAUAUUGGACAAUGGGCGAAAGCCUGAUCCAGCAAUGCCGCGUGAGUGAUGAAGGCCUUAGGGUUGUAAAGCUCUUUUACCCGGGAUGAUAAUGACAGUACCGGGAGAAUAAGCGCCGGCUAACUCCGUG